Molecule: long non-coding RNA, 238 nt
Filed under: Gossypium barbadense (sea-island cotton)
Lineage: Eukaryota; Viridiplantae; Streptophyta; Magnoliopsida; Malvales; Malvaceae
Description: long non-coding RNA (GBAR_LNC011995)
Source: RNAcentral
GACACCCUUAGCACAUCUAUAGGAAUUUGCAAAUCUAGUCACCAGCUUCUCACUUAUACCCCUGAAUGAACAGCAGCAACCUCCAAACAAAUUAUCAGCAACCUCUUGCAAGUCAAUCGAUGGCGUUUCCACAAAAUCUGUACGAGCGAAAGAGGCUAACGUUGCAGAUUGAGGUUGGGGCGCUGGUGGCGGUGCCAUGUUUCGUGCUGCCGGAAUCCAUAGCUAUAUUGCACCAGAC